GAGGGUAUAGCUCAAGUGGUAGAGCGCAUGCUUAGCAUGCACAAGGUCCUAGGUUCAAUCCCUAGUACCUCCA
Molecule: transfer RNA, 73 nt
Filed under: Camelus bactrianus (Bactrian camel)
Lineage: Eukaryota; Metazoa; Chordata; Mammalia; Artiodactyla; Camelidae
Also listed under: 2 other names
Rfam family: tRNA
About the family: Transfer RNA (tRNA) molecules are approximately 80 nucleotides in length. Their secondary structure includes four short double-helical elements and three loops (D, anti-codon, and T loops).
Source: Rfam by way of RNAcentral